GUUGGAUUACCUGAUGUCCAUUCAGGUUAUGGUUUUGCCAUUGGUAAUAUGGCAGCUUUUGACAUGUCACUUCCUGAGGCAGUGGUGUCUCCAGGUGGUGUUGGUUUUGAUAUCAACUGUGGUGUUAGGCUGCUAA
Long non-coding RNA from Orbicella faveolata, 136 nucleotides. NCBI's taxonomy places the organism in Eukaryota, Metazoa, Cnidaria, Anthozoa, Scleractinia, Merulinidae. The record is from RefSeq and is a predicted model, not a curated record.